Molecule: ribosomal RNA, 369 nt
Filed under: uncultured phototrophic eukaryote
Lineage: Eukaryota
Description: SSU rRNA
Rfam family: Bacterial small subunit ribosomal RNA
Source: RNAcentral
UACGGGGGAUGCAAGCGUUAUCCGGAAUCAUUGGGCGUAAAGCGCCUGUAGGUUGUUUAAUAAGUCUGUUGUUAAAGACUAGGGCUCAACCCUAGGAAAGCAAUGGAAACUACUAGACUAGAGUAUGAUAGGGGUAGAGGGAAUUUCUAGUGUAGCGGUGAAAUGCGUAGAUAUUAGAAAGAACACCGGUGGCGAAGGCGCUCUACUGGAUCAUUACUGACACUCAGAGGCGAAAGCUAGGGUAGCAAAAGGGAUUAGAUACCCCUGUAGUCCUAGCCGUAAACGAUGGAUACUAGAUGUUGCGUUUAUUAUGCAGUAUCGUAGCUAACGCGUUAAGUAUCCCGCCUGGGGAGUACGCUCGCAAGGGUG